GACGAACGCUGGCGGCGUGCUUAACACAUGCAAGUCGAACGGAAAGACCCCUUUGGGGGUACUCGAGUGGCGAACGGGUGAGUAACACGUGAGUAACCUGCCCUUGACUUCGGGAUAACUUCAGGAAACUGGGGCUAAUACCGGAUAGGAAUCCUUGCUGCAUGGUGGGGGUUGGAAAGCUUCGGCGGUUUUGGAUGGACUCGCGGCUUAUCAGCUUGUUGGUGGGGUAGUGGCUUACCAAGGCUUUGACGGGUAGCCGGCCUGAGAGGGCGACCGGCCACAUUGGGACUGAGAUACGGCCCAGACUCCUACGGGAGGCAGCAGUGGGGAAUAUUGCACAAUGGGCGGAAGCCUGAUGCAGCAACGCCGCGUGCGGGAUGACGGCCUUCGGGUUGUAAACCGCUUUCAGCAGGGGCGAAGCUUGUGGUGACGGUACCUGCAGAAGAAGCACCGGCUAACUACGUG
This 465-nucleotide ribosomal RNA is filed under the name uncultured bacterium. Its description in RNAcentral is "partial 16S ribosomal RNA". It matches the Rfam family "Bacterial small subunit ribosomal RNA", at positions 28 to 507 of the family's 1533-position model. The record is from RNAcentral.